UGGGUUGGGAGAGAGAGACAUGUGUUUAAACUUCUAAAUAGAAGAUAAGAUAAAAAGACCACAGGGUCCACAAAAACAAAAAAGACUUUAUUCAAUAAAGUCUUUUUUGUUUUUGUGGACCCUGUGGUCUUUUUAUCUUAUCUUCUAUUUAGAAGCUUAAACACAUGUCUCUCUCUCCCAACCCAU
Pelobates cultripes (western spadefoot toad) is the source of this 186-nucleotide non-coding RNA. The record is from the annotation of a GenBank genome assembly. Lineage: Eukaryota; Metazoa; Chordata; Amphibia; Anura; Pelobatidae.